UACACAACUUUUGUUGCUUUGGCAGGCCCGUCCUUCGGGGCCGCCGGGGGUGUUCAGUCACCUCGGGCCCGCGCUUGCCAAUAGCCUAUUCAAAAUCCUUUUUUACCAACCAUGAAGUCUGAAAAUUAAUUAUAAAUAUAAUUAAAACUUUCAACAACGGAUCUCUUGGUUCUGGCAUCGAUGAAGAACGCAGCGAAAUGCGAUAAGUAAUGUGAAUUGCAGAAUUCAGUGAAUCAUCGAAUCUUUGAACGCACAUUGCGCCCUUUGGUAUUCCGAAGGGCAUGCCUGUUCGAGCGUCAUUAUCAACCAUCAAGCCCGGCUUGUUAUUGGGUCCUCGUAUCGUUAAAGAUAGGCCCGAAAGAUAAUGGCGGCGUCAAGAAUGACCCCAGAUGCAGCGAGCUUUGUAAGCAUACAUCGAGGUGGUGUUCUUGGCCUGGCCUUGAAUUUCAUUGAAAAAUGAAUGUUCUUUCUAAGGUUGACCUCGGAUCAGGUAGGAAUACCCGCUGAACUUAAGCAUAUCAAUAAGCGG
RNAcentral lists this ribosomal RNA (529 nucleotides) under Phaeomoniella sp. Its description in RNAcentral is "eukaryotic LSU rRNA". The stretch from base 146 to 299 matches the Rfam family "5.8S ribosomal RNA". The record is from RNAcentral. Lineage: Eukaryota; Fungi; Ascomycota; Eurotiomycetes; Phaeomoniellales; Phaeomoniellaceae.